CCAUUGAACGGGGAAGGUUUCUUAAGGUCACAAGCUUUUAUGUACAUCGGCUAUUUUAGCUGGAGAUGGUUUAUGAUGCUUUCUAGAAUUCAUGUCAAUCAAUAUAUUCUUAUUCCCAUUUUUAUGUUGCAGAUUGUGACCCCCUUUCUCAUGGCCAAGACGGACAUUAAAACUGCAGAAGUUGUGCUUCUUCCCGACUUGGUGGUUCAUUCUUAAACCGGUAUUUCCCGGAACUGGUUUGAGAAUAAGAUUCUCCCCAUUGAUGACACCAAAAGGAACUGUUGGUUUCUGUGUGUAAAUGCAAUCUCCCAGAACGCUUCUGCAAUUCUUGAUGGAUCAGGGUUUUUCUUCAGCUAUAUCCGAUCAAGGGAUCCAAGGCUUGAUGUGACGUCAAACCGUCAACAGCUAUAUCCCUAUUGACGGUGCUCGGGCUCUGAUAUGACAUCAUCACGAACAUCCAGGUAUGCAGACUGUUCCAGGAAGUUAGAUAUCAAAGAAGGAACCGUUUCUUUGCUUCGUCCCUUUGUGCAUUAGGAUCUUUCUUCGGCUAUAUUCUAUCCAGAGUGCUCGGGUUUGGUAUGGUGCCACUACAAACCGUGCAGGUAUGUUAACUGUUUCAGAACGUAGAUUAUAGUUGUUUAGCAUGAAAAACAAGAGUACCAUUUAUUAUUAUAGCAACUUGGCAUC
This is a long non-coding RNA of Hibiscus syriacus, 687 nucleotides long. RefSeq lists it as uncharacterized. The transcript is spliced from 3 exons. NCBI's taxonomy places the organism in Eukaryota, Viridiplantae, Streptophyta, Magnoliopsida, Malvales, Malvaceae. The record is from RefSeq and is a predicted model, not a curated record.